UUCGGAAUGAACUUAAGUGAAUUAGUGGCGAACGGGUGAGUAACGCGUGAGUAACCUGCCUUACACAAGGGGAUAGCCUCUGGAAACGGAGAAUAAUACCCUAUGAAACUAUCUUAUCGCAUGAAAAGAUAGUCAAAGUGUUUUAGCGGUGUAAGAUGGACUUGCGUCUGAUUAGCUAGUUGGUGAGAUAACAGCCCACCAAGGCAACGAUCAGUAGCCGGCUUGAGAGAGUGUACGGCCACAUUGGGACUGAGACACGGCCCAGACUCCUACGGGAGGCAGCAGUGGGGAAUUUUGCACAAUGGGGGCAACCCUGAUGCAGCGACGCCGCGUGAUUUAGAAGGCCUUCGGGUUGUAAAAAUCUUUUGUAUAGGAAGAAAAUGACAGUACUAUACAA
RNAcentral lists this ribosomal RNA (397 nucleotides) under uncultured Anaerococcus sp. Its description in RNAcentral is "bacterial SSU rRNA". It matches the Rfam family "Bacterial small subunit ribosomal RNA", at positions 73 to 485 of the family's 1533-position model. Lineage: Bacteria; Bacillati; Bacillota; Tissierellia; Tissierellales; Peptoniphilaceae. The record is from RNAcentral.